Molecule: ribosomal RNA, 511 nt
Filed under: uncultured bacterium
Lineage: Bacteria
Description: partial 16S ribosomal RNA
Source: RNAcentral
GGAGUUAGCCGGUGCUUCUUCUGCGAGUAACGUCACAGAUGUAAGGUAUUAACUUACACCCUUUCCUCCUCGCUGAAAGUGCUUUACAACCCGAAGGCCUUCUUCACACACGCGGCAUGGCUGCAUCAGGGUUUCCCCAAUUGUGCAAUAUUCCCCACUGCUGCCUCCCGUAGGAGUCUGGGCCGUGUCUCAGUCCCAGUGUGGCUGAUCAUCCUCUCAGACCAGCUAGGGAUCGUCGCCUAGGUGAGCCUUUACCUCACCUACUAGCUAAUCCCACCUGGGCUUAUCCAUCAGCGCAAGGCCCGAAGGUCCCCUGCUUUCCCCCGUAGGGCGUAUGCGGUAUUAGCAGUCGUUUCCAACUGUUAUCCCCCACAAAUGGGCAAAUUCCCAGGCAUUACUCACCCGUCCGCCGCUCGUCAUCUUCAAAAGCAAGCUUUUGAAAUGUUACCGCUCGACUUGCAUGUGUUAGGCCUGCCGCCAGCGUUCAAUCUGAACCAAGAUCAAAUUCUGA